This is a non-coding RNA of Phrynosoma platyrhinos (Desert horned lizard), 75 nucleotides long. Lineage: Eukaryota; Metazoa; Chordata; Lepidosauria; Squamata; Phrynosomatidae. The record is from the annotation of a GenBank genome assembly.
UUAAUUUUAGUGUAGUGGUUUGAACAUUAGACUGUGACUCUGGAGACCAGGGUUCGAAUCUUUGCUGAGCUUUGG